ACCCUGUAUCGCCCCUAUGAGAUAUGAAAUGAAACCCUAAGGAAUGUUAUCAGUUUAUUCAACUCAAUGGUCCUCUUCAAUGCGAUAAUUACUUUCUUCAGUAAAUGUCAUCAACAAUCUAUGCAAUCAAUCGUUUCGGCUUCAAUGGCCUUGUCCGUUUAUAGCAAUCCACCGUCUUAAUAAGUCGUCACUGAAAUCAGGUAGAGCUACAGCGGACACAUGGCGGAGAUGGCGACGUCCGGGCGCGUUCACCUCUCUCCCUUGGCUGCUUCACCUCCUCUUUCUCCACUGUGUUCGUAUAUUAGUACCACGUUAGGUUAGGUCUGCGACAUGAAAAAGUCGGAGCUCCUACAUCAACAUCACCGGCGAUUGUUAGAAGAACUGUCUAAGCGGUUGAUUUAGAUUUAAGACCUUCACAUGUCGGCAACGCUUCAGUUAUGGUUUCUCUUAUCAGUUUUGUUAUUUCUUUUUUGGUAAUUAAAUUCCAAUUUAACUUCUUUUUCUUUUUUUGUAUUUUAGAAUUAGAAGAAAGCAAGCAGAUGUGGAGUUUUAAUUGAACAAAGUUGGCAUGUGCUAAUUGUUUGAUUUUUUUUUCUGUAUAGCUACUGAAAUAAAGUUGAUUUGUAUAUUUGUAGGUGGAAGCUGUUAGAUUUUGUGGAACUUAAUGUGUGAGUCUUGAUAAUCAAGAAAGAAAGAGCCAUUUUGUGUUGGUCCAUAUGCAAGAACAACGGCUGCAAUACCAAGAUAAAUAUGCAAUGGAUGUUGAGAAUCGGAAUUUGAAAAUCGUUGAGAAAUUUGAAUGUCUGAGCCACCUAGAGUCGUGAGUUCAGUAAUGGAUGUUGCUGAAUCGGAAUCACGACCGGUUGUGGAAUUGCGUAAACCGGUUGUGAAACCUAAGAGUAAAGUAGGAAAACGGGAGGAAGUUAAGAAAUCGUCGUCGUCUGUCGCUGUGACGGUCAAUUUGUCGCUACAUUCUAAGUUAAUUACGCCUCCGCCGCCGUCGGUUUUCAGAUGGAAGGAUUGUAAGAUGCUGAAGUCGAAUUUUUCGUGUCGUGCUCGUCGGACGCUUCCUCUAAUUCUUCGCACAGUCGAGCGUCUGUUGGGAGGAUUAGUCGACGGAGUGUGACGUCGGUCCGUGGUAAGGAAUCUGCUGGUUUGAGAACUGGAAAGGUUGAGAAUGGUUUCAGAACAGUUUCGAAAGUAGGAAAAGUUGAGAGUGGUUCAAGAGGUGAGAAAGUUGAAAAUGUUGUGGAGAUUGAUGGUUCUUUGGAGGAUUCGGGUGAUGCUUCGCUGGGACGGAAGAGAUGUCCUUGGGUGACGGCUAAUACUGAUCACCGAAGAUCCGUUGCAGCAUGCUUGGUCAAGGAGUAUACAUCUUAGAGCGGGACCGACAAGAAAACCAUCAAGCAUCAGAAGCUCUCGCUCCUCCAUGGUGGAACUUCUUCCAGUGUGACUUACACAGUCAACUCAUAGACGACGUCGAUUCAUGCAUCUUCGGUGCCAUCUACAAAUCCAAACACCCACCUUCACAACACACCCCGUUUUACGUCAUCGCUUUCCGUGGCACGUUAAUCAAAGGGAACGUGUUCUCACAUGACUUGGAACUCGACAUCCACAUCAUAAAAAACGGGCUGCAUCUUAACAUCAAGAUUCGAUGUCACUAUGCAAGCGGAUAGAAACCUGGUCGGAAGUCAAGCGUCAAAGUCAAACAUUUGGUUGACGGGCCAUUCGUUAGGAUCCGCAAUGGCGUUACAUGCGGGAAAAUGAAUGGCGAAAACCGGGAUCUUUCUUGAUUCAUAUCUUUAUAUUACAACUUGCGAUUCCUAUGUUUAAUGUAAACUAAAAACCCCUGUAGACUUUUUUUUGGGUGCCAGAAUGUAUAUAGAAUGAAGCAUACAUUAUUUAACUA
Molecule: long non-coding RNA, 1909 nt
Organism: Helianthus annuus (common sunflower)
Lineage: Eukaryota; Viridiplantae; Streptophyta; Magnoliopsida; Asterales; Asteraceae
Exons: 3
Source: RefSeq, a predicted model, not a curated record